Molecule: ribosomal RNA, 392 nt
Filed under: uncultured bacterium
Lineage: Bacteria
Description: partial 16S ribosomal RNA
Rfam family: Bacterial small subunit ribosomal RNA
Source: RNAcentral
AUACGGAGGAUCCGAGCGUUAUCCGGAUUUAUUGGGUUUAAAGGGUGCGCAGGCGGCCAUUUAAGUCAGCGGUUAAAUCGUGGGGCUCAACCCCAUUCUGCCGUUGAUACUGGGUGGCUUGAUUGCGGUCGAGGUUGGCGGAAUUCGUGGUGUAGCGGUGAAAUGCUUAGAUAUCACGAAGAACUCCGAUUGCGAAGGCAGCCUGCUGGACUGUAACUGACGCUGAUGCUCGAAAGUGUGGGUAUCAAACAGGAUUAGAUACCCUGGUAGUCCACACAGUAAACGAUGAAUACUCGCUGUUUGCGAUAUACAGUAAGCGGCCAAGCGAAAGCGUUAAGUAUUCCACCUGGGGAGUACGCCGGCAACGGUGAAACUUAAAGGAAUUGACGGGG